CACCUCUAGCAUAACAAGUAUUAGAGGCAUUGCCUGCCCAGUGACUGUAGUUAAACGGCCGCGGUAUCCUGACCGUGCAAAGGUAGCAUAAUCACUUGUUCCUUAAUUAGGGACUUGUAUGAACGGCUAAACGAGGGUCCAACUGUCUCUUAUUUUCGAUCAGUGAAAUUGACCUUCCAGUGAAGAGGCUGGAAUCCUAAAAUAAGACGAGAAGACCCUAUGGAGCUUAAAUUAAUAAACUUAUAUGAAUAUCUUCCAUAAACCUAGUGGAAUAAAAACAGAAAUAAUAAGCUUAAAAUUUUGGUUGGGGUGACCUCGGAGAACAGAAAAUCCUCCGAACGAUUAUAACAUAGACCAACAAGUCAAAGUAAACCAAUUUUCCAAUUGACCCAAAAAUUUGAUCAACGGACCAAGUUACCCUAGGGAUAACAGCGCAAUCCUAUUUAAGAGUCCAUAUCGACAAUAGGGUUUACGACCUCGAUGUUGGAUCAGGACAUCCCAAUGGUGCAGAAGCUAUUAAUGGUUCGUUUGUUCAACG
Molecule: ribosomal RNA, 538 nt
Filed under: Praomys rostratus (West African Praomys)
Lineage: Eukaryota; Metazoa; Chordata; Mammalia; Rodentia; Muridae
Description: partial 16S ribosomal RNA
Rfam family: Bacterial large subunit ribosomal RNA
Source: RNAcentral